Molecule: long non-coding RNA, 534 nt
Organism: Vidua chalybeata
Lineage: Eukaryota; Metazoa; Chordata; Aves; Passeriformes; Viduidae
Exons: 3
Source: RefSeq, a predicted model, not a curated record
AGGCUCCACCUCAGCAUGAAGUUGUGAGAAGCUUAUAAUUCUCCUAUGAAAUGUCCCAGGAUUUUCCACAUUACUCCUCUCUGCUUGGAGAAAGCCUGCUUAUGCCACCCCAAGGCUGUGCCUCCAUGUUGCUCUCAGUCAGAAAGCCCUGAAGGUUUCUCUGCUUUCUCUGAGCUCAAGGCUGGGAAGCCAGGGCUGCACUUUUCAUCAAGGUCAGAGGAAGCGCUGACCAUGCUGGACAGUGAACGCCUAUGGUGGGUGGACAAAGCUGAAAGUUUUCACACCCCUACAGUUCCAAAAAGCCAGAAAUCCAUAUUCACACCUCAAAGGAAAAAUAUUCUCCCUACCAGUCAACUUCAGGAAAUCAAGAUAUGCUUUGCUCCCCAUCUCCUAAGGCUCUUCACCUCUCUUCCGUACCUCUGCACCUCAUUUACUCACUAUGAGCAUCAGCUGCUUGGUGGAAACCUCAGCAGCAUCUUCCACCUGAAGAAGGUCUGAAGAGCAGGGUGAGGAGAGGGAAGAGGAAUCAGGUUA